ACGAUGUUCAACGGAUGUGCUGGCGAGUAACAUCGCAUGUGCACUCCUUAACACCUUUACACACCUGUGAACCUCGAACCGCGCUCUUUUCCUUCGGGAGGCGUGUGUUCAUCCUUUACAAAAUCCUGUUGACUUGAGCUCUGGAACGUAGAUUGUUGUAAUUAAAAA
This 168-nucleotide unclassified non-coding RNA is filed under the name uncultured Epulorhiza. RNAcentral describes it as "sequence contains ITS1". The record is from RNAcentral. Lineage: Eukaryota; Fungi; Basidiomycota; Agaricomycetes; Cantharellales; Tulasnellaceae.